RNAcentral lists this transfer RNA (73 nucleotides) under Marmota monax (woodchuck). RNAcentral describes it as "tRNA.Ala". Lineage: Eukaryota; Metazoa; Chordata; Mammalia; Rodentia; Sciuridae. The record is from RNAcentral.
UGGGGUUUUGGCUCAGGGGUAGAGUGCUCGCCUAGCAUGUGCGGGGCUCUGGGUUCAAUCCUCAGCACCACAU